UACGGAAGGUCCGGGCGUUAUCCGGAUUUAUUGGGUUUAAAGGGAGCGCAGACGGGCUGUUAAGCGUGACGUGAAAUGCCGGGGCUCAACCUUGGCCUGCGUCGCGAACUGGCGGCCUUGAGUGGACGGUAGGCAGGCGGAAUUCGUGGUGUAGCGGUGAAAUGCUUAGAUAUCACGAAGAACCCCGAUUGCGAAGGCAGCUUGCCGCAGUCUUACUGACGUUCAUGCUCGAAGGUGCGGGUAUCGAACA
This 250-nucleotide ribosomal RNA is filed under the name uncultured prokaryote. RNAcentral describes it as "partial 16S ribosomal RNA". It matches the Rfam family "Bacterial small subunit ribosomal RNA", at positions 524 to 774 of the family's 1533-position model. The record is from RNAcentral.